Molecule: ribosomal RNA, 469 nt
Filed under: uncultured Anaerolineaceae bacterium
Lineage: Bacteria; Bacillati; Chloroflexota; Anaerolineae; Anaerolineales; Anaerolineaceae
Description: bacterial SSU rRNA
Rfam family: Bacterial small subunit ribosomal RNA
Source: RNAcentral
AAACUCAAAGGAAUUGACGGGACCCGCACAAGCAGCGGAGCGUGUGGUUUAAUUCGUUGCUACACGAAGAACCUUACCUGGGUUUGACAUAUAGGUUGUAGGGAACUGAAAGGGACCGACCCUUCGGGGAGCCUAUACAGGUGUUGCAUGGCUGUCGUCAGCUCGUGUCGUGAGAUGUUCGGUUAAGUCCGCUAACGAGCGCAACCCUCGUCGUAUGUUAUAUGUGUCAUACGAGACUGCCGGUAAAAGCCGGAGGAAGGUGAGGAUGAUGUCAAGUCAGCAUGACCUCUAUAUCCAGGGCUACACACACGCUACAAUGGUCUGUACAAUGGGUAGCCAAGCCGCGAGGCGGAGCCAAUCCUGAAAGCAGGCCUCAGUUCAGAUUGCAGUCUGCAACUCGACUGCAUGAAGCCGGAGUUGCUAGUAACCGCAGGUCAGCAAUACUGCGGUGAAUACGUUCCCGGGUCUU